CGGCAGGCUUAACACAUGCAAGUCGAACGAUGAYUAUCUAGCUUGCUAGAKAUGAUUAGUGGCGGACGGGUGAGUAACAUUUAGGAAUCUGCCUARUWGUGGGGGAUAGCUCGGGGAAACUCGAAUUAAUMCCGYAUACSACCUACGGGUGAAAGGGGGCGCAMGCUCUUGCUWUUASAUGAGCCUAAAUCARAUUAGCUAGUUGGUGGGGUAAAGGCCCACCAAGGCGACGAUCUGUAACUGGUCUGAGAGGAUGAUCAGUCACACCGGAACUGAGACACGGUCCGGACUCYUACGGGAGGCAGCAGUGGGGAAUAUUGGMCAAUGGGGGCAACCCUGAYCCAGCCMUGCCGSKUGUGUGAAGAAGGCCUUUUGGUUGUAAAGCACUUUAAGCRGGGRGGAGAGGCUAAUGGUUAAUACCCAUUARAUUAGACGUUAC
This 439-nucleotide ribosomal RNA is filed under the name Faucicola osloensis. RNAcentral's name for it is "Moraxella osloensis partial 16S ribosomal RNA". The record is from RNAcentral. Lineage: Bacteria; Pseudomonadati; Pseudomonadota; Gammaproteobacteria; Moraxellales; Moraxellaceae.